RNAcentral lists this ribosomal RNA (301 nucleotides) under uncultured bacterium. Its description in RNAcentral is "partial 16S ribosomal RNA". It matches the Rfam family "Bacterial small subunit ribosomal RNA", at positions 509 to 809 of the family's 1533-position model. The record is from RNAcentral.
CAGUAGCCGCGGUAAGACAGAGGAUGCAAGCGUUAAUCGGAAUUACUGGGCGUAAAGCGCACGCAGGCGGUCUGUCAAGUCAGAUGUGAAAUCCCCGGGCUUAACCUGGGAACUGCAUUUGAAACUGGCAGGCUAGAGUCUUGUAGAGGGGGGUAGAAUUCCAGGUGUAGCGGUGAAAUGCGUAGAGAUCUGGAGGAAUACCGGUGGCGAAGGCGGCCCCCUGGACAAAGACUGACGCUCAGGUGCGAAAGCGUGGGGAGCAAACAGGAUUAGAGACCCGUGUAGUCCCUGUCUCUUAUAA